Long non-coding RNA from Lagopus leucura (white-tailed ptarmigan), 486 nucleotides. RefSeq lists it as uncharacterized. The transcript has 3 exons. The record is from RefSeq and is a predicted model, not a curated record. Lineage: Eukaryota; Metazoa; Chordata; Aves; Galliformes; Phasianidae.
CAGUGCUCCCAGUGUUUGCAGGUAACAAGAACCCAGCCCAAAUGGAAUUCAGAAGUAAAAUGUAUGCCUUGUGGAUUUCCAUCUUGACAAACUUUCUGGAAGUGAAUACCUUCUAGACCUCUCCAGAUGAACACUUCCUAGAGGACCCAAACAACAACUGCAUGCUACAGGAGUGCCCACCUCAUGCCGCACUCUGUUGCCAUGUGCUUAACUUUUGCCUUCCUCAUACUCCGUACUCUUCUGAACAUAGCAGAACACAGCAGACCCUCAUGGACUACAAAAUUUGUGAUGUUGCAGGAGUGCGUUGGCUUAGUGAAUUGUAACGGGAUUAACAUCCUGAAGAUGUGCUGAAGUUGGAAACCCACAGCGAUCUGCCUUAACCUCUGCAGUAGCCAAUUUUGCGAAUAUUUCAGCUGAAACCUUGAUGCUAGGACUGUUGCUGGGCUGUUCUGAGGCUGCACUGUUCAGCUAAAACUCCAAAAGCGU